RNAcentral lists this long non-coding RNA (1092 nucleotides) under Homo sapiens (human). Its description in RNAcentral is "non-protein coding lnc-WDR25-2:3". Lineage: Eukaryota; Metazoa; Chordata; Mammalia; Primates; Hominidae. The record is from RNAcentral.
CGGGGCUGGGAAGCAGCUGCCCCCUCUCCAGGCACCUUGGGGGUCCCCCAUUCAGGAAGGGGACCAUCCACAUCUGAGCUUUCCCUAUUAUCGGGAGGCUGAGGCCAGUAGGGCAGAGUGACUUAUUCAAGGUCACUCAGCCGGAAAGCCUCUCAGACAGGAUCCAACUGCAGCCUUGGGGACUUGCAUUGGGGGUGCUGUCAUGACCCCACCCAGGGCCAUGCCCCUGGCCCUGUGCUUCCUGCUCCUUCUUGACUUUUGUUCUCAGAUAAACAUUGGAUCGAGUCAUUCACACUAGUAUAAAUGAGGCUCAGUCCCAAGUCUGUGAUAACCGGCGGUCCUAGAGACCUUCUACAGUAGCCUCUUGUUUGCUGACCAGUGAAGAGGAGGACCAGAGACUCACCCAUGGCCACUCAGCCAGGCAGGACAGCACAGGACAGGACUGAAACCCAGGGUCCUCCUGGGGCAGCAGCUUCCUCCCAGAAGUGGUUCAUGGUGGAGCCCCAGGCAUUGUCUCUCAAGAAACGGUCUGCAGAACAUGGAAGUGAUGGCUGGAGCUGUGGCAGCCAUUUUGCACCAUGAGACAAACUUGUGGCAGCAGCCAUAUAUAAAAGAUGGAGGAGCAGAAAGACAAAAGGAAUCCGGAUAUCUCAUGACCACUGAAUCAUCAUCACACCAGCCUUGCAUCAUCUGCCUCUGGUGCUGAGGACCCCUGCUUUUCUGAGCUCUGCCGGACACCUCUCUGAAUGCCCAAAGCGCCCCUGACUGAGUCUGCAAAACUCAGUGCGUGGCCUCACCAUGGCCUCAGCCACCCAAGACAGGAACAGGGGCCGCUUCAACUCUUUCCUUCCCUCUUCCCUGUCCCCGCCCCUGGCUGCCAGGCCCUGGAGAUUCAGCCUUUCUCAGGCCUGGCCACCUCCCUGCAUCCUCACCAUCACUUUGCUGGUACCAGACACUACCAUGUCUCACUUGGACAUCUGCGAUCAUCCCUUCCUGUGCCUCCUGAGUCGAUGCGGAUCCAGCCCGGCCUAUCCCACAAACACGGCGAGUGUGACCUUUUAAAAUCACAGACCAGGCCGGGUGCGGUGGCUC